AUGCUUGUCCCUUGGGGUCUAAGGGGGAUGCUUGUCCCUUGGGGUCAGGGAGUCGGGUGGGUGCCAAGGCUUGAAUUCCCUCGGGUGCCCUCAAUCCAGCCCUGUUUCAUGAGUUCUUCAGGGCAGAUUGCUGGUGGGGCGAGAGGUUUGCUCUCUGCCACCCCCUCCAAGCGAUGCUGCAGCUCGGGGCAAUGGCAGCUUUGUGCUGAGCGUGGCAGGAUUGGGCCCCCCCACCCCUUCUCCCCGUUGCUCCGGGAGCCCCCUGGUGCUGGUUCCGGCUCUGACCCAACAAUCCGGGGGUGCCGGCGGUGCCAGGGGCUGCCCCGGGGCAGGGUGCCCAGGAUGAUCGUGUCCCUGUGGCUGGCGUACAUCGCGGCACGGAAAGGCACCGGCGUGUACAUCCCCACCGACAGCGCACCGGUAAGCAGGGGGCGGCGGGGGGGGCUGUGGCCCUGGCUCCUGGGGCACUUUUGGUCCCUGGGUGAGUCCCAGGGCUCACCGGGUUCCCCUCUUCCAGGAUGGCCCCGUGGUGGAGGUGGACGCGUUGGCCACGGUCAGUUGGUGUCUGCGCAAGGCGAAGAAGAGGCAGGAGAAUGCCCGCAGGGGCUCGGGGGAGCCUGGGCUUUACGUCCAGGGCAUUUUUUUGAGGACCGAGCCAGCACUGCGUGUCGGGAUGCAACCCUUGGUGCACCCACAGCCAGCCUGCAGCUUUGCUCCCUUCGCAGGGUGAAGAGCUGCUCUCCAGGCUGUUCCAGAGGGUGCUGGAAAUCUGGGCAGAGCCCCGGGCAGAGCCCCAGGGGGAGCCCCGGGCGGAGCCCCAGGCAGAGCCUGCAGCGGCUCCCCCAGCCUCCCAGCAAGCCGGUGGUCCAAGCCCCCAGCCAGACCCGUGUCCAUCACGUCUUGAGCCUGCUGGAGGGUGAUCUGGUGGAGGACAGGAAGGAGCAAACUGAAAACGGCGUGUCCCAGGUGCUGCUCCAAGGCAUGCCGGACACCGUGAUGGAGGCCGUGAUGGAGGCCGUGACGGACACCGGGAUGGACUCCGUGAUGGACCCCAUGAUGGACCCCGUGAUGGACUCCACGCUGGACACCAAGAGCCAGGUCCAGCUUCCCAGCGAGGACUAGGAGGUGCUGAGAUCAAAACUGCAGCAAGCAAGCCCAAGGGCAGGCGGUGAACAGCAUGGAGAGGCCAGGAGCCAGCAGGGCAGCGGCACAGGGACACCCUAAAAAAGUCCCUGUCCCAUGCAGGACUGGGACCCCCCUCCCCGCCUCCAGAAGCAGGAGCUGUGGCUGUGCCAGGAGCAUGGAGCAGGAGCUGGGUGCCCGCAGACCCCCACUUUGCAUGUUACCGGGGACUUCAUGAAUUAUGCAGCCGCCACAGCACGGCAGGACAAAUCAGCUGCAACACGCAAGCACUAAAAAGCGUAUUUAUCUUUGCGUCCUAUUGAUUUAUUUUCCUCUCCUGUUUUUCAAGCUCAGGAAGCUGCAGUGAGGAUGGGAAAACAAGCCAGGCAUUUGGGGGGCUCCUGGAGUCCGAUGGGUUCCCCCUGCUAACCGAGCAGUCCCAAUGGGUUUCUCCACUUCCAGGCUGAAGCCCCAAAGCUCAGCGCUGCCUUGGAGAGAGCGAAGUCCUCUGAGCAGCCUGGUGCUUGUUUCGAUGGAGCAGGAGCCUGGGAAUAUUGCAGAGAAGACGGGAUGAGCAGGAUCCACCAAGGCGUGCACAGCCCAGGGGCUCCAAAGGCUCCGUGGUUGCUCCUGGCAUCUGUCCCUCUGCCCCCUGCCCCUGCUUUUUGGGCUCCAGAGGCAAACAGGUGUCACGUGUGUGUGAGCAUCAGAGCCACAGCAGUUAAGGGAGUGAUCUGCAGCUGGUUCUGGAGCACCGGGGUGCUCCCUGCUUUGCCAUCGCUCAGCUUUUGGACCGAUGGGAGAGGCAGGGCAGGGCUGUAACGCCAGCAGCAGACAGAGCCCUCUCCCACCUGGUGGGGAUGUCCUGCUCCUCACCUGCCCUGCAGCUGGCUGGGAGCCCACCCUCCGUGGGGAGCAUCGCUGGCACAUUUGUCCUCAUCCCAAUCGAAGUGCGACCAUCCGUUGCGACAAAAAUGCCUUUUUGUCCAUCCAUCUAUCCUUU
Anser brachyrhynchus (Pink-footed goose) is the source of this 2125-nucleotide long non-coding RNA. The record is from Ensembl. Lineage: Eukaryota; Metazoa; Chordata; Aves; Anseriformes; Anatidae.